Molecule: ribosomal RNA, 486 nt
Filed under: uncultured bacterium
Lineage: Bacteria
Description: bacterial SSU rRNA
Rfam family: Bacterial small subunit ribosomal RNA
Source: RNAcentral
GAUGAACGCUAGCGGCAGGCCUAAUACAUGCAAGUCGAACGAGAUUGUUGUAUUUAUAUGACAUGAAAGUGGCGCACGGGUGCGUAACACGUAUGCAAUCUACCUCUAAUAGGGGAAUAGCUUCGAGAAAUCGGAAUUAAUACCCCAUAACAUAAUUGAAUGGCAUCAUUCGAUUAUCAAACCUCCGGGGAUUAGAGAUGAGCAUGCGCAACAUUAGCUAGUUGGUAAGGUAAUGGCUUACCAAGGCUACGAUGUUUAGGGGGUCUGAGAGGAUGAUCCCCCACACUGGUACUGAGACACGGACCAGACUCCUACGGGAGGCAGCAGUAGGGAAUAUUGGUCAAUGGAGGAAACUCUGAACCAGCCAUGCCGCGUGCAGGAUGACGGCCCUCUGGGUUGUAAACUGCUUUUAUACGGGAAGAAAAAAUACUACGUGUAGUAUACUGACGGUACCGUAAGAAUAAGGAUCGGCUAACUCCGUGCCAG